RNAcentral lists this long non-coding RNA (22584 nucleotides) under Setaria viridis. RNAcentral's name for it is "long non-coding RNA (SVIR_LNC005214)". The stretch from base 20005 to 20240 matches the Rfam family "MIR159 microRNA precursor family". Lineage: Eukaryota; Viridiplantae; Streptophyta; Magnoliopsida; Poales; Poaceae. The record is from RNAcentral.
CAUGGGGAGGUACUGGGUGAGGAAGUAAUCAUCAUCUACACCUCUGGCUUAGCAGGUGAGCCAGAAGUCUUCCAACCAUACACCAAGGUUCAUCUCCCCAGUGUACUUGGCGAUGUUGGUGGGCCGUCGGAAGUAUCGUGGGAAAGGCGCUUUUUGAUAUGGCAAUCGAAGGCCUGUGGUCCCGUUCCGUCCGGGGUAGCGCUCCGGUCACCGUUUCGGUCGCUCGGUCGGUCGCCUCGCCUAGGGUGCACUUCUUCGCACUCCUCAUGGAACCGGUCACAGGCCACGUUGGCCGCUCUUGCUGCCAUCUGUUCAACGUCGGCGUCGUGCCGUGCAUGGCGUCGCGUGUGGAGGACAUCGCGCGCGUCACGGUUCAGCCCGAUCCGCUCGCACAUGGGCUGAUACCACAACGCUGGUGCCGGGUCGGGCUGCGGAGCUGCCGCAGCGCUCUGCCUUGCCCGACGUGCCGGCGGGGGUGAGCGGACGAAGGGGUUUGACUGGUCCGGCCCAGCGCUCCGGUUGGGCAAGAGGCUGCGUGUCAUUCUCGCGAUGCAGAGCUCUCCGUCUGUUGUACGCCGGUGGUUUCCACCAGCGCCCAGAGGUUCCGAUGGAUUGCCUGCUCCUGGGGUCAGCUGGCUCGGGGAGGCUGGGCAGAAGCAUCGUUGCGGCAGCGAUGUUCUGUCCGGCCCAAGCUUAAUGCGGCAGGUCAUCCCCUCCUGCCAGGAUGUUAAUCUGGACCUGGCGGGCGCAACCUCGAGCGCCGCUUGUCGGGUUGCGCGCGUGCAUGAAGCGUCCCCACAUAUGCAUAGACUAAAUAUGAUACAAAUAUCAGUCCCAGGAGACUGAUAAUACAUUUAUUCAACAGAUGGUUCAUAAACCGUACAACUUCCGAGGGAGUAGGCAGGAAAGCCACGCUGAAAUGAGAAGUAAAUAGAAAAUAGCAGCGAGCCAAGCUACUAUCAAAAGACAACACUCGGGGCUACACGACAGCGGAAGCAUUCUGCAAAGGCCAACACCACAGGCAGCGUUGGGUGCGGAAGCGACCUCCUACUCGAAAUCCUCAGCGAUGAAGUCCAGAUCUUCCUCUGAAGCAACAAAAUAAGGGUGAGUACAAAAGUACUCAACAAGUCCAACCCCAUUCACGGAGGGGGAAUACAAUCAAGAAUAUGCACAAGAUAAUUCAAUGAUAAGGCUUAGGAUUAUUUGCAAUAAAGCUAGAUUUUCAACAGAUGCUAUGGUUCAUUUUCAAAAGAGUUUUUGUUCCGAAACAUUAAGUGGGGUUGAUGCUACACCAAUGAUCCAAGUUUUAAUGCUACCGAACUCCCCGUCCGCAGUAGCUCACGGCACAACUGCCGGACACUUCCAAAAUCCAACUCAUGUUAUGAAAACCAUCCAUCUCCAAGCACUAGUUAUGUGACCAAGCUGUAACUCGUCCAAUACCGUGGACACGGCUAUCCGGAUAGGUUUAACUCUACAGAGGUUAUACACUUUACCCACAAGUAGGGUACCGCAGCAUGAUCACCUUAGUAUCGGUGCAGAUCUUAUCAAAGCCAUUACCCACCUUAGCUAAGCCUGACUAGCCGUAGCAACCAAGGUGUUAAUGACCUACCAACGAGGUCUAAACCGGGAUCUAAGUUCACACAGUUCUGACUCCCUCUCCAUGGUCUCCCGUUGCUCACCAGCUCUCGUGAUGGCUAACAUUCUAGCUAGUGGGAUUUAUGCUAAGCCGUCGCCGCAUACAAUGGUCGAGUGGUUGGACGAUGGUUGGGUUAGGCAAGAUGACACAUCAACUCGGUCCUUAAUUGUGGCAAGAUGGAUAUCUCCCAACCUUGCUCAACCACAAAGGUACGAGCCCAACUCAUUAGCAUUUCACACAAGAAACACUCAUCCAUCUCAUCUAAGCAUUUCUUUCCUUUAUUUCUAAAAACCCAUUUUCCCUUUAAAAAAAACACCCACGCAUUUAUUUUUUAACAAAACACAUUGUAGUCAUGAUUGAAUUGAGUAACAAGUUCCUAAGCAUUCUAGCCGUAAUUAUCAUCCAAACAGAGCAAAUCAUAUUUAGAGAUAAUUAUAGGAGAUCAAGGAAUAUUCAUAACAAUCAAGGGGUGGCUAUCCAACCAUGUUUCAGCAGUAAAACAAUAUGCAAUUUUAUAAAAUAGGUCAAUAGGUUGUGUUUGAAAAACUGGGAUAAAUAUGCAUCAAAGGGUGGGAUUGGACUUGCCGUCCUUAAAGCCUCCGGGAGUUCCUGCUCGCGGUACGGGUCUUUGGGCUCCGACUCGCGUUACUGGGCUUCAAGUUUGUCUUCGGGCUCCUCCGCAGCCACUGCACGAUCUACCCGUCGAGGUCGAAGGGAGGGAGUGAACUAAAAAUAUGAAAUGAGGAGUAUUUUCAGGGAUUUUGUAGAUGACUCGGUGCAAAUAUAUGUAAGAAUGACGUGGUCGAAUUUGGGGUUUAUUGGAGGGAGUUUGGCGCAUGAAAUGACAAGAUAACAGUGUAUUUAGGGGGUUAAAAUGAGCUUAGGACCAAUCUGCGAGAACCAAGGACCUAUUUCUAAUUAUCUUUGGGAGGUGGAGGGGUUUGGGUGCAAAAAUAAAUAAGCGGAUGGGUGAAAAAGCAAAAUAGCCUUUCUUACAGAGUCAUGCAUGGGAAAAGGCACAGGAAGAACGGGAGAGCGGCACGGUUGGGGAGAGGGGGUGCUGGGGCACGGCGACGGUCGGAAAGUGGGGGAAAACGGAGAGUAGGCUGAGGGGAUUUGAUUCCUCUCCUUACCUUUGGCUGAGGUGGCUCCUGAAGGUGGUUCCGCAGUGACGGGUGGGAGACUUCGAGGGCGGCACUGGGAGCACGGGAGUGAGGGAGUUGGGCGGGAAGCUCGGUAGUGGAGUCGAGAGUGGAGCGGAGGUCAUAGAUGGGAGGCAAGGUGGAGCGGGCUGUCGACGGGCGGCGCACAGGAACGGGCGGAGUUAAUGGCCAUCGGGAUGCUCGGGCACAGGAUGGUGGCGUGGCGACGUGGAGCUCCGCAUGCGUGGCGUGGCGAGGCCGGGCUCACGCAGCGAGGCGAACAAGGAUGCCAUGGCGUGCUCGAGCAGCGAUGCGCGUGGUUGGGCGCUGGUGGCGAGCUGUUAGUGCGGCGCGGCGUCGGGAGCGUGGCGUCGCUGUGCGCUGGGGAGGCGAGGGCACGAUCGGUGCUGGAGGCGAGGCCUGGGCUGCGCGUGUGCGGGGCGCGGUGUAGGGAUGCACCCUAGUGUGCGGUGGCGCUGUGGCGAGGUGCGUGCGAGGGAGGAUCAGGGCACUGGGCAACGAUGCGCUGGGGUACGUGCGUUGUGCAGGUGGGGUCGGGGGUGGCGGGAGGUGGCGUGCAGCACCUGUGCGGGCAGCAGAGGUGCAGGGGGCCAGCGCUGGGGGCUAUGCGCGAUGCUGCGCUAGGGAGGGAUAGGUGCGGGCCCAGGGGAAGCACUGGCGCACUAAGAAAAGCCAGGCACCAGGCGACGGGUGCUGGAGCAUGCGGCAGGGGAAAGGAAAAAAAAGAAAGAAAGGGAGAAAAAGAAUCAUGCGCGUCCAUGCUGAGCGGCAGGUGCUGGUGAGAUGCGUGCGGCUAGGAAAAUGAGUCAUGUGCAGCAGGAGAGAGAAAAAAGGGGGGAAGGGAAAAAGAAAAAGAAAAAGGAGGGGAGAAGAGAAAAGAAAAGAAGGGAAAUAAGGAAGAGAAUAAAAAGGCAGAAAAAGGGAAGGAAAAGGGUGAGGGAAAAAGAGAAGAAAAAUAGAGAGACGGCAGUGAUUGUGAGAAUGGUUGCGGGCACACGCGGGAAUCUUUCGUCUGGCACGAGGCGUGACACGCGGAGAAGGAAAAAUGGAAAAUGGAUAGAUGGUGGUCGGCUUCGAUGCCGGACGGCGAACUUGUCGGGAAGACUGGAUUUUAGAGAGCUUAAGCAGUGAAAGAUUUUGAAAGCGAUUUUUAGCGACUGAUUUUGGUUGGUGAAUUUUAUGGGCGUUACAGUGCGGCCUGGAGUGAUGCUCUUGGCGCGCUGGCGGAGGCGGCUACUGAUCCUGCUGCCACUGUCGCAGCUCAUCGCCGUGCGCCUGCGCUUGCACUAGGGCCUCCGCACGGUGGUUCGGCGGGGUGUGAGUCUCAACAGACUCCACCACCUCCGGAAGCUAUUCUAGGGCGUCCGCCAUGGCGCACUCCCGGGACAGAGGAUGGUCAAGUGCCAUCAUGGCACCAAUGCUGGAGGCGUCGCUCUCAAGCUCCUCGUCGCAGAGGUCGUGGAAGGAGGCAGGAGCAGAGUCUGCCAUUCCCACGAACUCGCGCGGGUAGAUUGAUGACGUCAUGACCCUCCAGAGCCCCCGCGUGUACGCGUCCACGGGGGACGCAAGACCAAAGGGGAGCCAGCCGUGUGGCGAAUGUGGUGGGGACAAUGGAGCUCCUCCGAAGAGCUGGUUGAAAGUGUUAGCCAGUGAAUACAUGAUAGUGUCCAUGUCAUUCAUCGUGGGGUUCGUGCCCAACACGGACUCGAUGCGGAGCGCAAGUGCCUCCACGUCAAGGUCGUCGAGCGGCUCGCAGAUGAUGAUGCGAGCCACCUUUCCCGAGGAUGCCGGGGGAGUCGUCUCCUCACGCAGGCGGAGUACGCCGAGCUUACUGAUGAUGAAGUCCAGACUUCCGAAGCGGAAAGCCUGGGAUAGCGCGAAGACAGGUGGAACCCACAUCCCACCGAGGGUGGGCGCGAGAAACUCCAGCGAGCCGAAGCGAAUUGUAUCGCUCGAGCCCACCAUGCUGAAGGUAGCGGUCAGGUGGGCCAUCUAAUGACCUACAAAACGCGAACGCAACAGCGUCUUACCCACAGAUGGCGCCAACUGUUGGUGUGAAAUCUAGUUGACAAGUAAAUAUUUGUAGUUUUACCGUGCGUUAGAUCGGAUAUGGCCUAGCACACAAUGACAUAGGAUGUAUACUGGUUCGGGCAACGCGCCCUACGUCCAGGCGGGGUCAGUCGGUCGACUUUAUUCCUGAGCCUAGGUGCUCAAAGUUUGUAGUGGGGGUACAAAUGAGAGGAGGAUGAGAGGGGGUGCUUGAUUCCUGGUUUUGUUCUCGUCUCAGUGGAAGAGAGUGGCAGGAGCUCAGAUGUGCGCUAAGUGUGUGAGAGUGUGAAAGCGUAAGAGUGUAAGAAUGUAAGAGUGCGUAAGUCGCAGAGCUGGAGGGUCCAUCCCCUAUUAUAGUACAAGGGAACGGCCUUACAGGUCGGAAAGGAUAAGAGAGUGAGUGUACGGGUGCUCCUAGUCUUGUCGAAGUACAUGUCGUCUGGUGUGAUAUGGCCUCCGUCCUUGGUCUUUGUUCUCCUCGUUAAGCCACUCCGUCGUAGCGAGUAAGUUUAUAGUGGUACUGUAUAGGCGUGCACAGGGCGUGGCACGGUACGGUUCUGCAUACGACCGGCUGACCCGGUGCUUCCUCAUUAUCCGUCCCACCUGCUGAAGCGUCCCCACAUAAGUAGAGAAUAAAUAUGAUCCAAUUAUCACUCACAGGAGGCUGAUACCACAUUUAUUCAACAGACAGUUCAGAAACCGUACAACUCCCGAAGGAGCGGGCGGGCAAGCCACACCCAAAGUAAAACUAAAGCGAUAACAAUACAAAUCCAAGUUGCAGUCCAGUCGGACUCUGGGCUGCAAUCGGAACUAUGCGUCAGGGGAAGCAUUCUGCAAAAGGGCCAACACCGAAGGCAGCGUUGGGUGCAGACGCAACCUCCUACUCGAAGUCCUCGGCGACGUAGUCCAGAUCCUCCUCUGAAGCAACAAAACAGGGGUGAGUACUAAAGUACUCAACAAGUCCAACCCCAUCCACGGAGGGGGAUACAGCAAGAAUAUGCAUCGGAUACAACAAGGAUAUGGUUAUGGUUUAUUUGCAAGAAAGCUAGAUUUUCAACUCAUGCAUGGGGUCAUUUUCAAAGAGUUUUUCACAAGUAAUUUAUUUUAAUAACCGAAACGUCAAGUGGGGUUGACCCUACACAAAGGGUCCAAGUUUUAUCGCUACCGAACUCCCCGUCUGCCGUAGCGCACGGCACAACUGCCGGACACUUCCAAAAUCCAACACACACCAAAGGAACCAACCAUUCCCAAAAGCUAGUUAUGUGACCAAGCCGUAACUCGUCCAAUGCCGUGGACACGGCUACCCGGAUAGGUUUUAACUCUGCAGAGGUUGUACACUUUUCCCAUAAGUAGGGUACCGCAGCACAAAUCACCUUAGUGGCGGUGCGGAUCCUAACAAAGCCAUUACCCACCUUAGCCAAAACUGAGUAGUCAACACGGAAGCACCCAAGGGGUUAACGACCCAUCCACGAGGCUGAAACGGCGACCUAAGUCACCAAGAGCUUAAUCCUUUUUCCAUGGGCUCCCGUCGCUCACCAGCACACCUGAAGCCUAGCAGUUUAGCUAGUGGGAUUUAUGCUAAGCCGUUGCCCAUACAACGGUCGAGUGGUUGCACGAUGGUUGAAUUAGGCAACAUGACACAUCAACUUGGUCCUUAGCCAUGACAAGAUGGAUAUCUCCCAACUUUGCUCAACCACUAAGGUACGAGCUCAACAAACCGGCAUUUCACACAAGAAACGCCCAUCCAUCUCAUUCACACACCACUUCUUUUUACACCCGAAAACCCAUCUCCUCAGUUGAACACACUCACACAUUUAUUUUCCGAAUAAACAAGUGUAGUCAUGAUUGAAUUUGAGUAACGAGUUCCUAAGCAUUCUAGCAGUAUUUAUCAUCUAAACAGAGCAACUCAUAUUUAGAGAUAAAUAUAGGACAACAAGGAAUAAUCAUAACAAUCAAGGGGUGGCUAUCCAACCCUGUCUUGCAAUAAAACAAUAUGCAUUUUAUAAAAUAGGCCAAUAGGUUGUUUGAAAAACUGGGUAUUAAAUAUGCAUCAAUGGAUCAGGUCGGACUUGCCGUUCUCAAAGCCUUCCGGGAGCUCCUGCUCGUGGUACUGGUCCUCAGGCUCGGUCUCACGGUCGAACUCUUCCUCAUGCUCCUCCUCGGGUACUCCGCGAUCUACGGCACACACAAACGAGCACACAAUAAAUAAAAAGAAAAAGACUUUACCCGUUGAGCUCUGAACAGGAAAUGUGAAUGGAAAAUGGGUAGGAAGGGUAUUUUCAUGAAAUUUGGAUAUGCCUCGGCGGAAAUAUAUGAGAGGAGGCCGUGGUCGAAUUUGGGAUCGAUUGGAGGAAGUUUGGCGCAUGAAAUGACAGGUUAAAGGGAUGUUAGGGGCUUUAAAACAAGGUUUAGGACUGAAUUGUGAAAAUCGAGGACCUAUUUGUAAAUAUUCUAAAAAGUGGAAGGGCUCAGCUGUGAGAAUCCCUAGGGAGAGGUGGAAGGACCGGGUUGUAAAUAAAAGAAACAAGAGGGGCAGAUCGAAAAUCGAAUUCCUCUCUUCUUCUUCUUUCCUCUACUUCCGAACAGAGGUGGGGGGGGGGGACACGGCCGGCGGCGGGUCGGCCGGCCUGACCCACCAGCGGCGAGGCCGAGCGGCGGGGAAGAUAGGGGAGGGUGAGAGGAGUCCAUUUGACCCCUCACCUUGGGCGAUUUGUGGCCGGACCAAGGGGACCGACGGUGGCAAGGAAGCGCAGCGGAGGUCCUGGCGGCGGCGGCGGUUGGCGCCGGGAGAGGCGGACGGAGGAAGGCCGGCGAGCUUGGGAGAUGGUGUUGGUCGUGUGGGGGAGGCGGCAGAGCUCGGCCCCUCUUUUAUAGGCGGCGGGGAGGGCGUCGGCGCCCGAGGCGGCGGGACUGGUGAUUUGACGGUGGCCGAACCUGUCCGGCCGGUGGCGUGCCGGAGUGGACGUGCACGUGGUUGGCGUGGCGGGGAGGCGCGGUCGCCAAGGGCGCACAGGGGCGGCGACUGCGCGGGGAGGCGCGCCGGGAAUGGGGGUGCGUGGCGGUCGGCGGGCGACCCGGAUCGGCCGGCGGCGCGCGGCGCGGCACGCGCGGCCUGGCGCUGGCGGAGGGGUGCGCGCGAGCGCGUGCGGGGCAGGCGGCGCGGCGCGGUGGCAGUCGCGCGCGCGUGGGCAUGGCGUGGGCCCAGCGCGCGUGCGGGAGCUGUACGUCUGGGGGGGCGCGCAGGGGCAGGCAGCGUUCGGGCAGCGCGAGGAGGGAAAGGCCGGGCGCCUGGCGCCAGAGAGGAAAAGGAGGAGAGAGAGAGGAGGAGGGAAGGAGGAGGGAGAAGAAGAGGAAGAAGGAAAAAAAAGGAGAAAAAGAAGAAAGAGAAAGAAAGGGAGAAGGAAAAGAAAAGGGAGGAAAAAGAGGAGGGGAAAGUGGUGAAAAUUUCGGGAUCUGACCGGCGCGCGUGAUGGAUUUGACGGGCACGCGGCGAAAAACACGGGGCACAGAUAAAGAGGGUUGACGACGUUGGGGCCGGAACGGCGAAUCUGACGAGAAAGGAAAAGAUUUAUCGGGGCUCAACGGUCAGAAAAUUUUGGAAUGCAUUUUUAACGGGUGAUGUAAUUUGGUAAAUUUCCACGGGCGUUACACCUGCUCCCUGGGCCCAUAUUGAGCGAGCAUCCCUGGUCGAUUGUACCAGUCGGCCCCGACUGAGUCGGUCGGGGGAGCGUUACGGGUGGUACGGCGUAUCAUUAGUCGGGAGGAUCGGUCGGAAGUACCCGGUCAGGAGAGCUCAGUCGGGAGAACUCAGUCGGGGUUGGACUGUGGUCCCUCCCUUAACUGGCUCUUUCCAACCAGUUGGCUGGUGGCCAGAUCGUGGUCUCGGUCUGGCUACGUGUAGUUGGGCUAGCCUAGAUAUGUGUUGUUGUUGUGCCCUUUGUUGGGCCAAGUGUCGUGGGAAGGCAGUCUUGUUGGGGACCCCGGGUCUAUGGACCCGUCAAUCCUUCUCCUGACCCAAUGAUUCCACCAUUCCUUGGUAGCAGUGAGGCCUUGAGUUCUUAAGAUCUUGAUGCCCAAUUCUGUAUGUCUCAGGAGGGGGGUUCAACAGCUAGUGAUGCUAUGGCAAGUGCAAGUACGCAAGCUAUGCAAACUCAGCCAACACAGCCAUGUGGGUCAUCUAAGAAGGUGGUUUUUCUCUACCCACAUUAGCUUCCAUAUUGAAUCCUAGUAUCCCUCUGGAGGAAUCGUCGAUUCGUAGAGGCAACAGACUUAGUCAAAACAAAUAUGGAUAUCAGUUUUUUCAGCUUGAAGAUCAUCCAAGGAAAAAGGCAGAGGGUUUGGGCGGAGGUGCCCAUAAAAAUAAAUGAUGCGGAUAAGCUUCUGGAUAAUCCACCCAAGCCAACUGAUGAGGUAGUCUCUAGAUAGGUCCCAAUGGAAAUCAUGCAUGGUUGGGCAAUUGACUGCAAUGUCGCUCCUAAGGAGCUGACAAAAGAUGCCCUUAUGGAAGGGCAACCAUCCUAGGUGAACCCAUGAAGAUACAACAUAUGGAAGCUCUGUGCAGGAAGACAUCUUUUGGUAAUGAUCAUUUUGCAAGAUGGCAGCGCUUACCUGCAGUCUCUUUAAUUUUUGUUAUGUCUUUGUUUGUGUUUUGUGGUUGCUACUUAGUCCAAACCUAUUUUAGUCCUUUUCGUGACACAAAGUAAAGUUUGAUGACAAUUGUGAGCUGUGGUUUGCUCCUCGCGUGCCUGAUCCUUCCAGGCUCUAUUUUCAGUUUAUCAAGGGCCUUCCUCCUAAAUCUGCUUCUGGUCUAGAAUUUCACUCUUUCUGCUUCACCGUGUACUUGCUGCAUUGGUUUUUCUCAUCCAUUUCUUGGUGUCAACAUGAAUAGAAGUUGGACUAUUCUUUGUUGAACAUUAGGGGUAUUAACAAUGAUAGGAAGUUGGAUGCUUUGAGAAAUAAAAUAGAGGAGAGUGCGUGUGCGGUUAUUUGCCUGCAACAAACUAAAAGAGAAAGCCUUGACACCCCCUAUAUUAGGAAUUUUGCUCCUAGACGUUUGGAUAAGUUUGAUUACAUUCCGUCAGUGGGACCAUCUGGAGGCAUUCUUGUCAUUUGGAACAGUUAUAUUUUUUAUGCUUGCACGUUGGAUAAAUAGAACUUUGCUAUCUCCCUAUCUUUUCCUUCUUGCCACUCUUUGGAAACUUGGAAGUUAUACACAGUCUAUGGCCCUUGCAUUGAGCUAGCUAGAUCAGAAUUUAUACAGUGGCUAAGGAACAUUCACAUUCAACAAGAUGAUAAUUGGAUAUUUAUGGGGGACUUUAAUUUCUAUCGAUCUCUGGAUGAUAGGAAUAAGCUAGGUGGUGACAUUCAUGAUACUAUCGUUCAAUGAUGUUAUUGGUCACCUCGGCUUACUGGAACUUCCUAUCAAAGGGAGGACUUACACAUGGAGUAAUAUGCAGCAAUAUCCUAUCCUAGAGCAGCUAGAUUGGUUCUUCACCACAGUCAAUUGGACUGGUUCCUAUCCAAAUACCAUGAUCCUACCCUUGGCCAAACCAAUUUCAGAUCACAUUCCAUGCAAAGUGAUGAUUGGGACCUCAAUUCCUAAAUCCAGGAUUUUUGGUUUUGAGAAUUUCUAGCCCGAGGUCAGUAGUUUUAUGAUAAAAGUUCAAAACAGCUGGAUAGUCACUCCCAAUCAUAAAUCUGGGUCAGCACCUAUCUUGGCAACAAAAUUUAAAAAUCUAUGACAAGCCCUCAAGAAGCGGAGCAAGAAUAUAUCAAACUUGAGCAAAUUGAUAGAAAAGUGCAACAAGACCAUCCUGUUUUUUGAUUGCCUAGAAGAAUGCAGGCCCCUAUACAUCACUGAAUGGAAUUUUAGAAAGAAAAUUAAGGAUCACCUAUUACAACUCCUGAAUUUUAAGAACCUGUACUGGAAGAAGAGGUUCACUGCUGACAGAAUCAAAUGCGGGAUGAAUGUACUAAAUUCUUUCAUGCCAUGGCAACAGUAUCCUAUAGGAAGAAUUCGAUCUCUCAGCUUAAGGAUGACAGUGAUCUGGAGGUGCAUAAGCAUGAGGGCAAGGCAGCCCUGAUUUGGAAUGCUUUUAGAAAUAGAAUGGGGAUCUCCUCCAACCUAGCUAUGCUUUUUUAUCUUCAUAAUCUGUUAUCUAGGAGGUUGAUCUUUCAUAUUUUACUCAACCUUUCACUAGAGAAGAAAUUGACAGAAUUGUUGCCUUAAUGCUUUCAAAUAAAGCACUUGGCCCUGAUGGCUUCAAUGAUCUUUUCAUUAAAAAGUGUUGGCCAAUUAUUAAGGAGGAUUUUCAGAAACUUUGUCAGGAUUUCUUUGAUGGCUCCAUUUCACUAGAAUCGAUCAAUACCUCCUUCAUAACUCUAAUUCCAAUGAAUAAUAAUCCAGAGAUAGUUAACGACUAUAGAUCCAUUUGGCUACUUAACUGCAGUAUCAAAAUCCUAACUAAGAUCCUUGCAGAGAGAUUACAGCUGGUCAUUCUGUUACUUCUUCACAAGAACCAAUAUGGCUUCCUCCAUUCCAGAACUAUGCAAGACUGUCUUGCAUGGUGUUUUGAAUAUAUACACCAAUGCCAUCAAUCCAGAAGGGAAAUUCUCAUCCGUAAACUUGAUUUCGCAAAGGCUUUUGACACAGUAGAGCACUUCGCAAUGCUGGACAUUAUGAAACGCAUGGGAUUUCCUGAGAAAUGGUUGAAUUGGAUUAACCUGCUCUUCACCUCUGGAUCAUCCUCGGUUUUACUCAAUGGGGUUCCUAGCAAACAGUUUCUAUGUAAAUGAGGGGUUAGACAGGGCGAUCCUCUCUCUCCACUCCUCUUCGUCAUUGCAGCAGAGCUUCUGCAAGUGGUUGUCAAUAAGGCUUUUCAAGACGAACACCUUGUAGCACCCCACCCACAAGCUCAUCCUGACUUCCAUAUAGUCCAAUAUGCUAAUGACACCAUCCUAAUUAUGCAGGCUAAUAGUACACAAUUGCAAUACCUAAAAAAGUCUUCUUCAUGUUUUCUCAGAGUCUACAGGUCUCAAGGUUAAUUAUAACAAGUCCUCUAUGAUCCCUAUCAAUAUUUCGGAUCAGUUAAUAGCACAACUAGCCUCUGAGUUUGGAUGCCAGAUUGGGAGUAUGCCGUUUGCGUAUCUUAGACUACCGAUGGGCACAACAAAACCAAAAUAGAUGACUUCUAACCUAUCAUGGACACGAUUGAGAGAAGACUCACUGCCUGUUCUUCGCUUCUGUCCUUGUCAGGAAGACUUCAACUGGUCAAUUCAGUUAUCACCUCAAUAGUGUUAUACCCCAUGUGCACCUUGAAACUUCACAAAGGGGUCAUUGAAAAUAUUGACCGGGCUAGAAAACAAUGUCUCUGAAGAGGGAAUGAUUUCAGUAAGAAAGAGGGAAAUUUAGCAGCUUGGUCACUUUACCCAAGGAAAAAGGAGGUCUUGGAGUUAUAAACCUUAGAGUCCAAAAUGAUGUACUCCUACUGAAGCAUCUUGACAAAUUCUAUGCUAAACACGAUACCCCUUGGGUAAACUUGAUAUGGUCAUCAUAUCAUGUUGAUAGAGUGCCUCAUGCCACGAGAGAGAUAGGGUCUUUUUGGUGAAAGGACAUCCUGUGCCUAAGUACUCUCUUCAGAGGGGUCGCUACUUGCACUAUUGGGAUGGAUCGACAGCCAUGUUCUGCGAAAACUUAUGGAGUGCUCAAAUCAUUGCUGACCUUUAUCCCAGGCUUUUCUCCUUUGCAAGAAACCCAAACCAGUCAGUCAAGGAUGUUAUGGCAGCCCAAGACUUAUCUACCAUCUUUACCCUCCCGCUAUCCUAGGAAGCCUUUGGAGACUUGGUUGCACUUCAAUCCUACCUGCAAGAUUUCGUGCAUAGUGAGGACUCCAAAGAUAUUUGGGUUUACAUUGGGAAAGUGCCAACUACACCUCUGCCAGAUUCUAUAAGCUUGGAUUUUCAGGGUUGCAAACCCCUGAGACUUUUGCUUGGCUAUGGAAAUCAAAAUGUACGCCUCAGGUCAAGUUUUUUGCCUGGUUACUCUUGGUGGACAAACUGAAUACAAGAAAUAUUUUACGAAGAAGAAACCUGAAUGUGCAAUCUCGAUUAAUUGUGUUUUGUGUAACAACGUUGUUGAGGAAGAUAGGGAUCAUCUUUUCUUCAAAUGCCCCUUUUCCAUUAGUUGCUGGUCCAAGUGGAACAUCUUCUGGAGUACUCAUGCAGUGAUUCAUAGAAGAUUAUCCAGAGCAAGAAAUGUAGCAGAUCAUCCUUUCUUCAUGGAUGUCUUCAUCCUGGCGCCCUGGGAAAUCUGAAAAAUGCGUAAUGCCAUCAUCUUUGACGUAGCAAGACCAAGUGUGAUCCAUUGGACUGUGAAGUUCAAGGAACAUGCUCUUUCUUCAAUCUAUUCGCUUUAAGAAAGAUUGUAGAGUUCUUUUUUUUGCAAUGGCUUGACUCAGUGUUGUAACUAUUUUCCCCCUUCCUUCCCCCUCCCCUUUUUCCCUCUGUAAGUAUGCCCUCUGAACUUGUCUAACCUCCUAUUUUUUAUAGAAAACCGAAGUGGUGUGGGGAACUCCCCCACAAUUUGCCCUUCAAAAAAAAUUAUCUCCCCUUUCCACCUUCUUUAUCUCUCUUCUUACUUUCCUUCCUUUGUGCCCCCACUACUACUUGUUUUUGACUGAGCAUCGAGAAAUUUGCAAUAAAUAUAGACUACUAACACUACAAGAUUCACCCUUUUCCCUUACAGUUCCUUUUAUAAACAGCCAACAAUUCCAGUAUAUUUGAUUCACUAACUCUAAAACUGUGGGGGGUGAAGUUGUCGGGGAUUAUAUUGUUGGCAAUUCAUCAAAACUAUGGGGAAUGAUGGAAAAUUAUACUACAAACAUUAUUGGCCACUGUGGGGAAUGAUGAAAAAUUAUACUACAAACAUUAUUGGCCACUUACUAACAUGCUAAACACUGUAUAGCAUUUUAAAAAUUGUUGGGAAUAAUGUCAACUCUUGUAGUGAGAUGCAUGAUCCGCAACUAAGGAUUAUUUGGUCCAAAUAUAUUGGGCUUCGCCCUGAGCAGUGAUUUGGGAGGUCGAGGAUGAGCUCCACCGGUUCGUUGACCAAGUAAUCAAUCGGCAAAUAAUUAAAAAGUUACUCCCUCCGUCCUACAAAAAUUGUUCGUUUAAAAAAAAUUAGACAAGAUAAUAGCAAUGUUAAAAGUUCAAUGUGCCCCUAAUGACUCUUUUUACUCGGAUGGAUUACCGAGUAGAAUUAAUUAUGCAAGCAUGUUUGCAGUAAUUGUCGGACCUAUUAGUCUUCCUUAUUUAGCGAGUCUGACUCGAGCAUUGAUGGUGGGAGUAAAUGAUCGAUUCGUAAACUAAAUCAAAAAGUAAAACGAGGAGUUUUGGUGGAUGAUGCGGAAGUUAUAUGAACUUUUGAAAACGGGACGGAGGGAGUACACUCAACACUCUGACUCCGCUGCCCUAUGAGCAUUUGGCAGCCAGAUCAUGCAGCUCCGAUCCUGUGCACUCUACGCUUCUACAGUAGUGGCAGCGGGGCACCGGCUCGGUGGGUGUGAACAGUGAACCUAAGCUUGCGGUUAGUGUACCAGUGGUAGCUUUACGACUAGCUCCGGCUUCCCGGGCGAACAGUGUCCGCCGGAACCGGGCCGCCAAACUCUCGAGCCGUGGCGCAAGGUGGGCGACGGGGAGAAAGCAGCCGAGUUGGGUGGUGGUGCAAGUACGUAGAGCCAGACCUCCAACUGCAAGCAGUACUGCUGCCGCGAAGAACGUGACGGUGGUUGGUUGCAACGGUAACGUCCUGCGGGGCAUUAUGCGCCGCUACUGUGCACGUUGACCGCGUGAUCACUGUCUCACUGUCACUGGCGGCAUAUGCAUUGCAUGCAUGCUAUAGCUCUCGCCUCUCGGGCUCGGCGCGAGGACGGGCACGGCAUGGCCGUCACGUCGCCGUAGUGCAGGCCCACCCAGCCAGGCACGGCGUACUCCUACUCCUAGGGCGCUAUAGAGCGGACUCGACAGGCGAGUGGCGCGGAGUGGGCGAGUCACGUCGCUGUCGAACCCGAGGCGCGAGGCGGGCCAGGAGACACCCAAUCAGAUCGCACUAGCCGCGAGGCUGGUUGCUUGACCAGUCAAGAUCCGGGUGGGGCCGGCGCAGAUCCGGGCGGGGCCUCGUGCCCGUCGUGCGCGCAUUCAUCGCUCCCUGCGGAGCCUGCUCCCCUCGGCGACCUCGGGAGAGAGCGACGUCUCAGGUCUGGCGUCUGGCUCUGGCCCCUCCGUCGCCUCGAGAUACGCGCCACGACGGCCCUGUGUGGUGGUGGCAUGGCAUCACGGCGCAGAGCCCUCCUCGUGCUCUGUGUACCUGAGUACUUGUGCCGCUGGAGCGUUUGGCAACUUGGCAAGGGCUGGAUCUCGCUUGCACCGAUGUGUUUAUCUUCUCCAGAAACCAACAGCUGCAGCCAAAACAGCCAACGUGGGUGCCUGCUUGGGUGGGGUGGUGCUGCACUGCUGGCUGCUGCUGCCCGCGUGCCUCGUCCCUGUGCUACCGCGACCACUACUGCGGGAGUGCAACUGCAAAGCCUAUCCCGCGCGGACAGAGCUGCACACCGGAAUUCAGCACCGUGUGGAGAACAUCAGAUUUUCAGAAUCCAAAAUCCAGAAUCUGUCAGGCCUCUUGCUGCGUAUCCAUAAUCAUAUCUAAAUUCACACCUAAUUUAAAUGAAAAAAAAUAUGUGUAGAAAAUUAUAUAUCUAUUGAAGAUAGGAAGGGUAGAGUACAGGAAGGUACAAUUUAUCCAUUGGAUAUAUAUAUAUUAUCUAGUAUAAAAUUAAUUAUUUAUUGGAUAUGUGUGAGAAUAGAAAGGGUGAGGAUUGGAUAAUAUAUAUUUGGAUUUGGAUACGAACAAGAGUGGGUUUGUCCAUACCCUCCCCAGUGGCCGGCCUAUCUGAGAUGGCCUAUCUGAGAUGCCUCCAAACAGGAUAGAUUCUAGCCCAAAUUCUAGAAUCUAAAUUUUGAAUUGUGAGAAUCCUAGAAGUUGCUCAAGGGUUGAUUCUACCGUAUUUUGCAUGUAUAUUUUUACCUUUUUGCCCACCAUCCUUUUGAAUAAUUACCCGAUAUACCAUUGUCCAUUUUUUGAUAGAAGGGUAUAAAAGACAUCUAUCCAACAAACUAGCAUACGAUCAGAUUUUGGAAUCUAGGAUCCAAACAACACCAUCCAUAAUUUACUUAGAAUCUAGAUCUGAAAUCCAUCCAAAAUUUGUAUUUUCAAAAUCCACUACUGGAUUCAAACGGGACCUUCUUUCGGUCCAAAAAUCAACAUCUACCUCUGGUCCAGGUUGAAUACCUAUAAAUUCUAGAACCCACCCAGCUUGUAGAAUCCAACUAUGGAUCCCAACACUCUAGCAUCUGCCACAGAUUUUAGAAUCCAAAACUAGCGGAUUCCAAAAUCCUAGACGCCGAGGAAACAUAGCUUCAAGCUGAGCAAAUGAUGAUAUUACCCUAACCUUUUUCACAUCCCCGUGCUACCAGCAAGGGUAUUAUAGGUAUUUGGUACCAUAAAGCAACAGUCCAUCCACCCUAGUACUGGUUUUUUAUUAUACGGAGUUUAUGGAAACUAUAGUCAUCAAAUUAUUUUUUGUGUAUUUGAAGGAUGUCUGAACUUUGGCAAACAGGCUGUUAGGUAAGGGUCAACUAACCAAGAUGCUCCUGCCGAUAGCAAUAACUCGUUUUGCCUUCUGCUGCUAACCAUUCUUGCCAUUGGGGUGUUCUUGUUCUUUACGGAAAGGGAGCAGCCAUCCACGAGUGACUGAGUGCGUAGCAUGGCAAAUUUUCCGUUUGCUUCAUCUGGACAACUCCUUUCCCUUUUUGAGACGACGGCGAGGCGACGAAAUUUUGACAAAGGAUGCCCAUUAAACGUCUAAAAGUUACUACUACUUCUAUCGCCGGUAAUAUAUGCCCUUUAUGAAGGAUCUGCACGUCUAUGUGACGACAAGAAACAAAAGAAAAACGAAUAAUACACCUACAAAAAUCGACCAAAGUAUUUGAGAGAAUAUGUACCCGUGAGCGAUCGAUUGAUCUGGAGGCAGGAAGAUUUCUGAAACCGAGGUUGCAUCCAUCUUUCUCCGAAAGGACGUGAAGGUGCAGGUCCCGGCACAAUUUUACUUUACAGGCGUUCAGAUUCUGUGUAUGCCGCCGGUUUUUUUCGUUUUUGAAAAAGCAUCACUUGUUGGCAUCCGUGGAUCCACACGAUCCUCUUGACGAGACAGAUGAAGCUGGGGGCUUUUUAUCCUUGUCGUUUCUUUGGAGCAAUUUUAGGGUUUGCUUUCCAGCCGGUCACGUGUACUCUACACCCUUUGCAGGAACGAUAUGGUUAGGUUCGACCCUCUUGCAGUCUUGCUAGAUCUUCCGAAAUAUAUUUAGAUUUGUGUUAAACUGUCACCUCGGAUGUUCGGAUGUUAAAUAGAAGGGCUAAAUAUGAGUUAAUUAUAAAACUAAUUGCAGAACCUCUUGGCUAAUUCGCGAGAUGAAUCUAUUAGGUCUAAUUAAUCCAUCAUUAGAAAAUGCUUACUGUAGCACCACAUUGUCAAAUCAUGAACUGAUUAGGAUUAAUAGAUUCGUCUCGCGAAUUAGACUCCAUCUGUAUAAUUAGUUUUGUAAUUAGCCUAUGUUUAAUACUCAGUAAACAUCCGAUGUAACAUGCGCUAAACUUUAGCGGGUGGUAUCCAAACAUCUCCUUAUUAUUGUGUUCUCAAAGAUUUUUAAAAAAAUUCUUGAGUUCUCGAUGCUAAUAUCGAUCAUAUGUCCUUUGAUGCUUAGGCUAGUCCCAGUGCAAGGUUUCAUUGCACAGUUUCCAAGGAUGCCACAUUAUCCCAUGAGGUGUAUUCUCAUGAAUGAAAUAGAGAGUCCCAGUGCACAGUUUCAUUUCACGAUUUCAUAGGAUGACCAUCACAUUUAAUUGUGAGGCAUGUGAUUAGAUAUAGUAGAUGAAAUGAAAACUCUAUAGCACCCAAUGCAAGUUUCAUGGUCUUGGAAACAAUUUCAUCCUGAUGAAACUACUUCCCUCUCUAACUUCAUAAUUAUCAUGCCAUGUCAUCAUAUAUGCUGAUGCGUCACUGUAUUUAAUGUGUAUGAAGCCUCUAUGAAAUCCCCACUGGGAUUAACCUUAUAAUCCUCUUAUAUACUCGAAGAAAGCCCUCUCUCAUAUUGCAGCUGCGACACGUUUAGUUCGAACAAUAAAGUUGGACUUAAUUGCCGACUUCAGUAAAUCAAAACUCGUCAUGUCGUCUGAGUGGGUGUUUGGAAGGAGGGGCUAAAUUUUAGCCCCGUCACAUCAAAUGUUUGGACACUAAUUAGAAGUAUUAAACCUAAACUAAUUACAAAACUAAUUACACAACCCCUAGGCUAAAUCGCGAGACGAAUCUAUUAAGCCUAAUUAGUAACCAUUCACUGAUGAUGGAUUAAUUAGGCUUAAUAGAUUCAUCUCGCGAUUUAACCUAGGGGUUCUGCAAUUAGUUUUGUAAUUAGCUUAUAUUUAGUCCUCCUAAUUAGUAUCCGAAUAUCUGAUGUGACAGGGCUAAAGUUUAGUCCCUCCUCCAAAACACCCUCUAAAAGUAUCUCCACUCAUCUCUCUCCAUCCCUCCAAAAUAAACCAGGACCAGUUUUUUUUUCUUCGCUAGCUCUAUCUUCUCCAUCCACUACUACCGCGAAAAACUGCACUGGGAGAAGACCUCUCGAAAGCAUCCUAAACAUGUUGGUGGUAGUUUUCAAGAGAGUAGAAAAAUAGAAAAUGUGAAUAAUAUUAAAAGUACGACGUACCUAUAUACAUUUCUUAUGUAUAAGAAAAUUGUUUGUAAUGUAACGAUGGACCGAUAAUAAUGUUUUUGUGUGCCAGGCGAAAAAGGUACUACUAACAGGCAUAUCCUGUUAACUACUAACAGGAGUAUCCAUUUGACCUUGUAGAAUAGUAAAAUUGGAACCAAUAAACAUCAUCAAACGCUGCUAGAGGCACUCCAAGAGUCGGCCUAUUUUGGCCGACUAUUUUACUUGUGCUAAUCGUAGUUCCCGUUGACAUUCCGCAUGCUUAGCUCGCUUAAUUAUCAAGACAACGUACGCAAAAAGCACAGGCAUCUCCCCUAAAGCCCCAUAUGCACCUACCGUGGCAACGCGUCGACACCCGUCAAAGGCACAAAGACGUCACUGCCAAAACGGCAUUGAUCCUCAUCCAAGCUCACCGCCCGUCAUCAACCAAUUGAUUAAUGCAAAUGAACUUACGUGCCCAUGGAUCUGACCAGUCGUCUGGCCCCACGAUUCCCGAAUGGCCGAAUGACAGUAACAGUCUCGUGGAGAGCAUUUCAUCCGUUUUCAUAAUUGAAAUUAUAUUUCUCUGUUUACCGUGUUAUUAUGCAUACGAGCAUGUAUUCUCUUUGUUAUUAAAUCGUCGUUUUAGCUUUUCAGGUACGAUAACGUGAAGUUUAAAUAUAUUUUCGACAUAAUAAAAAUGAUGCACUUAAACAAUUCAAAACGAUUGAGUUUUGAGAUGGAGAAUAAUUUUUUACCCCAGCAACACAAGAUGUCAUGAAUUGAAUUGAGGAGGAUGAUUUUGGUGUGAGCCCAUGGACGCGGGUCGACGGCCUGGCUGAGAGGAAGGGAAAUCUACCGUUCGGCAUCACUACCUCUGGACGCUUCUUUCCACCGUAUACGUACUUUGCUUCCUACAAAAGCUACCUUCAAUCCUGUACACGAAAUCUAUUAGUAUUUAUUUACUCUAGAAAAAGACGGUAUGAAAGGAAACUGACCUGCCAACCCAACGGUAAAAAGGGAUUUUUUUUGGUAACUGGUAAAAUGAAUUGUAAGUAAUGGCAGGCAAUAAACACCUUCCAAACAGGCGGCCCUCUGGCCUCCCCCUCACCCCUUCUAUAAAAGCCACCUUACUCUCCUUCCCUUCCACCCAUGAACAGCAAGAAAGAAUAGUCUAGUCUCCAGCCUCCCCUCCCAGAUUCCCCUUCUCCUGUCUCUCCUCCCCAGUCGUCUUUCAAGUCCCCUUUUUGAAGCUUUGCUGCUCGUUUUUUUUUUAUAUCGUGCUUCUCCAUUAGUUUAUGGUGUUCUUGCAGAUCUCAUGUCUUUUUGGUGUUUGGUCUUUUGGUCAGCUGGAUGUUUGGAUUGGAAGCGGAGCUCCUAUCAUUCCAAUGAAGGGUCGUUUCGGUGGGUUGGUACCGCUGCUCGUUCAUGGUUCCCACUAUCCUAUCUCAUCGCCUGGAGGCUUAUCUUAGAGAGAGAGAGUUGAGUGGUCUGGUGUUUGCUUGAGAUAGGCUUGUGGCUUGCAUGACCGAGGAGCUGCACCGUCCCCUUGCUGGCCGCUCUUUGGAUUGAAGGGAGCUCUGCAUCUUGAUCCAACAAGGCCUCGUCUUUGCCUUUUUGUGCACCACUAAUGGCUGCUGCUUACCAUUUACAUGCUUAAUCUGCGUUGUUUCUCCUCGAUUGUUUGUGGAUCUUUUUAGUCCAUGUGCGUAGAUCUGGAGCUACUAUGUUCUUGUUCUGUAAUUUUUUUCUUCGUCUACUAUUUUUUUGCUUGUCCUGAAUCAGAGGUUCAGGAAAGUCUCUUGGGCAGAUGGGCUUAUCCGUGCAUCGUGCUGGAGGCUGGCAAGCAAGCAAGUAAGCAAGGGUACUUUGGCGUUGCUUUAUUCCUUUGUUGGUGAGAUGUUAUGUCACCCUUGUUUAUUGUUUUAUGUUCCUUUCGUAUUCACCCCGUUCGUACCGCGCGUGUGCAUUUCUGGUGGGGACUCUUGGAUCUCGCUCGCGACAUCUUCGUCUCCACAUCCCACUUCGAGGCGCCUGCUCGCCUUCCUUUUCUCGCGCCCUCCCGCCCCCCACCUGACAGAUUCGCAUCAGGUGCUCGGAUCUGAGCUCAGCGAGCGCACAUCACAUGUGGUGCCCUCGGCUACCUCCCCUUCUUUGUUUGUCUGGUUUGGGCCGAUGUUUGCAGGUCACUCUAGGCUAUCCUGUGUUCUUGGUGAUGAGCAGAUGCUGCGGAAGCCAAUCCAUGGCAUGCUCCGGAGCUCUCUCUGAGCCUGUGACGACGACGAAGGCGACGCCUGAUGUUUCUGCUUGAAGACCGGCGCUCAAGUGUGGAUUGUUGUGGCCACGGACUAUUGUUUGUUGUAUGGUUUCUGGUAAUGCGUUCCGUUGUGCAUUUUGUUGUAUCACAUCACCACGGAUUAUCACUAAUAAUCUCUGGUUCGGAAAGGUAGGGCAUCAUACGUUGCGUUGUCCGUGCCUCGGGAAGAAGUCCUUGCAACCUGGGCUUGUAAUAAGUUUAGAUGGGCCAUGCUGAAUGAAAAUUACCUACCAAUUUGGGUGUAAACUUGUAUGAUGAAUCCUUGAGGCACGAUCCUUGCAAUAUUAAUCAGAAUUCGGAGCAUGCAUUUUAAACCUUCUUCCUCGAUCUUCAGCUUAGAUGCGCAGUGGUAAUGGUGAACCUCAUCUACUAGCAAUGUAAUUGUUAAGGAGAGCUAUUUAUAUCGUCUAUUGUGCAUCGUGUUAUGGCAUUGUUUCUUUAAGUGAUACUAGUAGCACAUGAAAGCUUGUAGCUAGGUCUGACGAUAAACUCAUGACUCGCUAGCUCGCUUGACUCAGCUCGUUAGUGGUACUGAUUCAGUUCAUUAGAAAUUCUUCAUGAGGCGGGCUCAACUUAUAGCUCGUUAGAGGUAACGGCUAGCAGCACGCUGCAAACAAUCUAAUUUAGUGACAUCGAUCUAUUUUUUUUACUUGGAUUUAAUUUGUGAUCUCCAUAUUCGAGAUGCAAUUCCAGCGGCACCCUCUCCUCGUUGCUGCCUUUGUGUCCGUAUAUCAAGCCAGCUCGAGCUGACAAACAAGCCGAACUGAGCCAGACUUCUAGCUUGUUAAGAUAACGGGCCGAGCCGAGCUGGCUCGAUAUCCACGCCACUUGUAACACAUGUAAGCAUUGGAUGAAAGCGCAAAGAAAGAUCUUACAAUCCAGGCUCGUUUUGAGCUUUCGCGUAUUUUAGGCCAGCUUUUCCAUAUUUUAGGCAAUAGGCGAAAACGUAAAUACCAACUGUGAAAUGAAAAUUGAAAAUAACUAAUAAUGAAAGUAAAACAAAAAAAAUUCUCAAUACCAGGCUUGUUUUUAACCUUUUUUCUGUAUUUUAUGCCAAAACAUAGAUGUGAGUGGUAAAGAUAAUAAUUAUGAAAGUGAAAACAAAAGGUUCUUAAAAUCAGGACACGUUUAAAAGCUUUUCCGCGUUUUAGGUCUGAAAGUAAACAUGAAGUAAUAAAAUAAAUGUUUAUAAAAGUCAAAAUAGAAAGUUCUUAAAACAUGGGAUCGUUUUAAGCUUUUCCGUGUGAGGAGGAAUAAGGCUACUCACGCAUCACCACCGACCAGGAUGUUGGUCGAUUCUAACAGGUGGGCUUACCCGACCAUGCCGUGCGGGUCAAGGUACGAAGAAACGUGGAGCAUAAGUUCGGAGGCCAAGCGAACGGAUUCUAUCCGGAUAUCACGGGAUAUUUGUUGUAAACCGACUCAGAUUGCUUUCCAUUUAAUAAUCGAUUAGGAUUAAAUUCUAUCCGAUUGUAACUCUAGGUCGUCAGGCUAUAUAAGACGGCUAGGGGCGCCCCCCGAGGGCACGUUAACUCUUCGCACUUGCGAUCAGUAAUACAAUCCACCAGAACACAGGACGUAGGGUAUUACUCUCCGAAGAUCCGAACUUGUCUAAACCUUGC